UCCAUUUCUACUCUCUCCCUUGCAAUCUUUCCCUCUCUCUUUAAAUUUCUAGCUUUUUAUUACUAUUUCACUAAUAAUAAUAAAGUCAUGCCCUGUUUUAAGUGUUGUAACCCUUGAUCACUGAUACCCUGUCCAACUGACAUAGGGCCCCGUAACAAAUGUCAAGGCUCUGCCUAAAUUUGUUGGGGUUCUGUCUCGUGACGUAGGGAUAAAGUUAAAUUGGGCUACUAUACUUAAUUUGAGUACACUAUAUAUUUUAUUAAAUAAUCCAGGAGUUAUACCAAGAUAUAUCAACCCUCCAAAAAUAUUUUAGACACCCGCAAAUGUCCUAAAUACACCCCGUAUAUGUAAAACGGUCCCGAAAUAACUUUAUAUAAUUAAAAAUAAAAUAAAAGUCAGUUUUAUAGUCUCUCGCGGGCCGCGAAGACUUGGUCUUCAUCUUACGCGGGCCGCGAGCGAGAAGAUAAGUGGCGCAGCCCAGGAGCCGCCACGUGGCAGUACACGCGUCAGAACCCGGGUGACUCAGCAACACCGCCGCCGCCCUACCAUUUCUCGCGGGCCGCGUAGCCCUUAGCUACGUCUUACGUUGGCCGCGUAAAAGUCGAAAAUCAGCCCUAUAAGUAGCAGGCAACGGCAGUUCCUUCAAAUCAUUCAAAAUUACUUUCUCUCUCUCGAAAUUCUUAAAGGAUAGGCACUAUACUCGGGUAUUAUACCCCCCUAAAUAGCGAAGCUCUGCCUCGUUGUAAGUAUCAUAACCCCUGGAUACGUAUUAGAUACUCUGCCCGAUUAAUCUAGGGUUCCGUAACGGCUGUCGUGGUUCUGCCCGACGUAGUCGUUGGAAUGCCGUCUCGGGGAGGAUUAUAACCAGGAAGUCACACAGGAAAGCCCUAUAAUAGCAAUGUGAGUAAUCUCCUUUUUGUUAACUGUUUUUACAAAACCUUAAAUACUUUUCCAUGCGAAUAGCAGUUAUUGAGUAUUUGUAAGAAUACAAUUACAGAUGGUAAAUUUGGGGAUUUGUAUACAAAAUUUGUUACCACCUGGUAAAGGAGUAACAUGACCAUAAGUCGGAACGACAGUACCAUGUGGUGGUAAUUGAUAUAACUUGGAAACAAAUGUAAUUGCGGAUGCGCCCUCAAUACUGUUCACUGUGACUUUUUAUUUAAAACUUGAUUAAACUGGGAUUCACUCACCAGUAUUUCCUGCUGAUAAAAUGUUUUAAACACGUGUUUCAGGUAACUUAGUGGGAAGCCAAUAAAAGCCAGCUGGAGAGCACCGAAGGCUUAGAAAAGUGGCAAUAAAAGUUACCUAAUUAAAAAUGAGAAUUGUUUUCAAUAAUUGGGAUCAUCCCCUGUAGAUGUAUCAAAAUGAAAAUCGGGUUUUGUCCCACUUAUAAAUGUGUUACUAGAGAAACUUGGAUUUUAUCCCAUUUUCUUUAAUUUAAAUAUAUUUGGUUU
This 1454-nucleotide long non-coding RNA is filed under the name Helianthus annuus (common sunflower). RNAcentral's name for it is "hypothetical non coding rna". Lineage: Eukaryota; Viridiplantae; Streptophyta; Magnoliopsida; Asterales; Asteraceae. The record is from RNAcentral.